UAAGUAGAGACUGUGUGAAUAGAUCAUCACAUAGAAACUAUAUGAGAAAAACUCAAGUUCAGAAGGAAACAUUUGCAAGAAAGAACUCAUCCACAUACAUCAUUAAAAAGUACAUGUAAGGAAGUAGAAUUCAAGACCCUGAAAGUUAGGUUUCUAAACAUGUUAUUUCUUGUCUGACAUGAGAUAUCUGAAUACCACACCCAAGAAAAACAUUCAAUGUUGAAAGAGGUGGGAAGACACCUAUAUGCAGGAGGUAUUAAUUAGGACAGUUAUUUUUUUCUCACCACUUUCUUUAUCUUGAUCUGAUAAAGAACAUACUUGGGAAUUUUGACCCACAGAAAGUAGGCAUUACUAUUUUACAACAGGUUUUGACCAUUUUAAAGACUUUUCUUCCAAAAAAUCAUCCUCAGUCAACACUUCAGACUAAUCAGUCAAAACUCCAGAACAAAGGAUGGAUGCAAGAAAGAGUCUCUCGUCUAUCAUUUCGAAAAAAGUUAAAGAGAGUCCUCUGGCAUCAAAUAUUAUCAUGGGAUUGUUUCUUCUUGUCUGUGAGAAGAUGCUGGACUCAGAAUUCCUGUGCCCUUGCAGUGAGAGAAGAGAAUGGAAUAGUUUGUUUGUUUUUCUUUACUUUUUGUGUCCAGGAUUUACAAUCUCUGUUUUAAUGUAUCAUGUGCAUAAACAUGGCAGUUCCAGUUCCUGUUGUUUAAUUUUCUUCCACACUUCAGUUCCUGUUCUCACAUGGCUCAUCAUACUGUUUCUUGAUGGGGAAUAUGUAGCUUGUGGCCUGACAAACUGGUCUGGGGUUUAUGAAGUUAGUGGUGGUGGACUGAUGAGGUGGUGCAAACCAGACAAAAACACAUCUGAGAGACUAAGCUACACUCGAACAACGUACACAAUCUCUCAGAGCAUUGGACUUCUGCUCUGCAUUCCCUUUGGUCUGAUCGUAUCCUGUUGUUUGAAGAACGUAUUAUCUAAAAUAAAUCAAGAAGGGACAAAUUUGGAAUUACUCAACCUGAGGGUGGAAUCUGCAUCAAGAGAUCAAAUCCCUUCUUAAGAGAAAACUGUUACAAAAAUGACUCAUUUGUGAAUUGCUCUUGUAUCUACUCUGUUAUCACAUGGUCAAAUUGAGUGACAAAAAGGUAUUGAGAUUUUUAAAAGAUCAAUAAUAUGAGUUGGAGAAGGUGUAAGUUUAAAAAAAGUUUUUUUUAAUCCACAAUUAAUGUUUUGCAUGUAAAUAAUUUUAAUGUCAGUAUGCUGGAUGUGAUUCAUUUUUACCUCUAACUUGUUGAUGGUGUUCAAUAAAUAAGAGCAUAACCAAAUAUUUUUUCAAAAAUUCAAUUUAAC
Long non-coding RNA from Oryzias melastigma (Indian medaka), 1344 nucleotides. RefSeq lists it as uncharacterized. The record is from RefSeq and is a predicted model, not a curated record. Lineage: Eukaryota; Metazoa; Chordata; Actinopteri; Beloniformes; Adrianichthyidae. The transcript is spliced from 4 exons.